AUCAGACUAACAGCAGGUGUUACAAUCAGUGUUUGUCACAAAGAUUGAUGCAAAGGUGAUCAGUGGCAGAUUUACAACGAUGUUUAAUGUUUGUUUUUGGCCAUAACAGUAGUCGUUGUUUGGAUAUCUUCCAUUAAGUCAUCAUAAAACAAUAACAAUUAGUACAGAAUUAAGAGCCAACGUCACUUGAAGUGGAGAUAAAUGACAUACUGGGUGUUCAACUCCUCAGCAUUCUUUUUUUAUUCGUUGGUCACCUAAAUUAGAUUUACGGUGUUAAAAUGCUCUCAGGUCAUCUGUGUGAAAAGUGCGGUGACACUGAAGCAGCAAACAUCUGAGGAGAAAGUCUUGUUUUCUCCGAUGCGGCAGUGGAUGACCUCGAGUGACGGAGAGAGUGUGAGGAGCCAUGUUUUGUUUUUCAUCAAAUUGCUGCCCAGAGUCAGUCGUUCAAAAUUCUCACUCUGCCAUCUUCCAAAAGCCACAAGAGGAUCUAGCAUGUGCUGCCUGGGGGACGUAUGACUGCCAUCCUCAAGAAGCUACCGCGUCAGGAAGAACUACAAGUAAAACAGCUGGCAGACGGUCUGUUCAGUCACCAGGCGGGCGACUAGAAAGACGAGAACGACACAACAGCAAUGAAAGGCUGCGCAGGAAGAAGAUCCGUUCGUUGUGUAAUGAAUUGAAUACUCUGGUGCCGUCGUGUACAGCUGCCACUGACACGGUCAACACAUUGCAGAGCACCUGUACCUUCCUGAAAUACAUCAAAACCUUGUAUGGAGACAACUUGACAUCGGUUAGUCGCAUUAAUCAUUUAAUUGAAGAAUGAUGAACAUUUGGCUAUUCUCUCAUCUGGAAACUUGUCUAUAUCUUUAUUUGGUCAAGUCCUUAUAGCUUUGUACAACAAAGUGUGUAGUUAUGUUGCUAACUGCUAUUUUCUAAUACUCUACAGGGUUUUCCGAUGUUUACUAUUAAAACGUUUGGUGAAAGCGUAAAACAACAGAUGGAUCAUACAGUGUUUCCCUUAUCAAAAAAUGACUUUUCUUCCAAAUAUUGUGAUAUUAGUCAAAGAAUUAACACGUUAAAUAUUUGUUUGCUGGAGUUUAACAUGUUAUGUCUGUGAAUUUUCACUCCAUAAUGAAGUAUUGGCUUAGCAAGCUUUCCGUCCAGUUGGAUUGCUAUUUCCUGUUACUGUAAAACGCAGGCUGUUCAGUCCAUAUGUAGAGAGCAGUAACAUUUUCCUGAAAAGUGGCUUUAUUUGUUCUUUCUUACAACAUGUCGCUGUAUCAUCUUACUGUACAUACAACAGAUACCCACAAAUAAUAAAUAGUAUUUAAAUGGUUUAUGUAAUAGUUACAGCACCGCUAGCACAUAGUGGAUGUGGUCAUGGUAAAACUCAACUUUGAAAAAAAUAACUGCACCCAAGGUUAUUGAAUUUAUUUUACAGUGUCUAGAUUUCUUCACCCACAUGUUUUAUUUGGCAUUUGAUUUUUGAGAUUCAACUGUUGAAAAAUAAACAAACUACUGUAAAACUUUUAAAACAAUAAAAAUACAAAAUAUUUCAGUUUGUAUUCAUCUACACAAAUAUUUUCU
RNA transcript from Nerophis ophidion (straightnose pipefish), 1584 nucleotides. It is a transcript of the gene named transcription factor-like 5 protein, with no coding region annotated. The transcript has 5 exons. NCBI's taxonomy places the organism in Eukaryota, Metazoa, Chordata, Actinopteri, Syngnathiformes, Syngnathidae. The record is from RefSeq and is a predicted model, not a curated record.